UCCAAGAUGUCACCCGAAUCUGAAAACACUAUUGUGAUACAGUAAUGCUGCCAUCUGCAUUUUUGGGGUCUAUUUUUCGACAAGGAAUCUGAGUCUUCUGGCAAGCAGGUUGCACAUCAGAGUACACAAGAGCCAUGUCUUGGUGACUUCCGCCUGAGAGCACAUGCACAGCUUCCUGUUUUGGUCUGAUAGCUUCCCCUGGGCUUUCAUAGAUGCAAAAUUACUCACACAGAGAUGGGUUGCCCAUGCAAAAAAUUUCAAGAGUCCUGUGACUGGUCUUCUCACAUUCUGUUCUGCACCAAACCAGUCCCCGUGUGCUUUUUAAAGGUAAACUUGAUCUUGUCACACUGAUCCUCUAUUGAAAACCUUCUCAUUGCUCUAUUGUUCAAAGCUUCCUUCAUGGUGUUGUCUGGGAGAAGGGAGCAACUUCAGUAGAAACUUCCCCUAGAACCACCUCUCUAGAAAGAAAAAAAAAAAGCCUUCAUCUGAAAAAAAAAGAAAAGCAGCAAAAAGUGAGAACUUAAUGCUCUGGUGAAAACUCAUUGUCACUGAGGGAAGAGAAAAACCCUUCUGCCUCUGGGGGUGGGGGGUUGGGGCAUGCAUGCCAGGCUCAGAAUGCAGCUGGGGGAGGGGCAGGAGGCUGUGUGCACUGCCCUCACCCCACCACCCAGGGACACUGGGCCUGCCUGGAACUGAGGAUUCAUCAGAAACCGCCCUGUGUCUUCUACCCUUCAGCCCCAGGCUAACAAACGUCAAACACUGAUAACCUGUAGGAAACCUGGGACAGCUGCAAGAGUCAGUCUCCCUGGAGGGCAGCACAAAGCAGACUCAGCGGCAGGAGAGAAGUGGACACUGAGGAAAUAACCUCUGACAAACUAGCCCCGGCCUGAAGAGAAGGUAUGACUAGCAGAAUUUGAAGUCUGAGGUACGAUGAGUAUAACCAGAGCAAUAACAAAUCUUGUACUCAGCCAACUUGUGAAUAGGGCAUACAAAUCUCUGACCCCAAAGGCCUUGCAGAAGGAAAGAUGUGCCCAUCUCCAAGCACAAAACAUACCUACCUCAGUAUUUACCAGAUAAGCAACUUUCAACGAAAAUCAUGAGACAUACGCAAAGGCGAGUCAUUAUCAAGGCAAUCAUCAGAACCAGACUCAGAUAUGACACAGACGGUGUGUUGUUGGCAAAAAGACAAACACGUAGACCAGGUGGCUAAGUAUGAAGUUUAGAGAUAGAAUCACAUAGAUAUAGUCAACCAACUUUUGGGCAAAUACUCAAAGGCAAUUUAAUGGAGAGAAGGUGAUCUUUUCAACAAAUGGGGAGGAAAAAAGCUUGAUGUCCACAGGCAAAAAAAGGCGGCUUGACAAAUACCUCAAACAUUGCAAAAAUAACACAAAAUGGAUCAUUGACUUAAAUGUAAGAUACAGCACCAUAAAGCUUCUGAAAGAAAAUUAAUGUGAUCUGGGAUUUGCAAGUUUCUUAAUUAUGAAAUCAGAAAUACAGACUAAAAAGGGGGUAAAAAAGAGAUAAACUAAAUUUAUCCAAACAAUAAGUUCUUCCUUUGUGAAGGACAUUGUUAAGAGAAUGAAAAAAAGGUCAUAGACUGAAGUAAAAUAUUUGCAGACUCCAUCUCUCAUAAGACACUAGUAUCCAGAAGGAUAAAUAAAUCUAAACACUCCACAAUACAAAACAACCAGCCAUAUUUUAAAAGGGCAAAGAUCCCAACUGACCCUUUACCAAAGAGGAUACAUAGGGGGUAAACAGGCAUAUUAUAAUAUGUUCAUGGUCAGUUUUUAGAGAAAUGCAAAUAAGGAUCACAAUGAGACAUCAUAAUAUUAGAAUAACUGGAAAAAAAAAGCCAAAAAAACUGGUGAUUCCAAAGGCUGAUGCAGUGUGACUGGAACUCUAGUCCCAGUGGAAUACGAAAUGGUACAGUUACUUUGGAAGACAGUUUAGCAGUUUCUUAUAAUGUUAAGUAUGCAUUUGGCAUAGAAGUUACCAAUCCUACUUUUAGGUAUUUAACCAAGUGAACUGAAAACUUAUAAUCACCCUGAAUCAUGUAUGUGAAUAUUUAUAGCAGCUUUAUACAUAAUCGCUAAAAACUGGAAACAGCCCAGAUGUCCUUCAACAGAAGAAUAGGUAAAUAAGCUGUACUGUAUCCAUAAAAUGGAAUACUACUCAGCACUGGAAAGAAAUAAACUACUGAUUUAUGCAACAACACGAAUGAAUUUUAAACACAGGUUCUUAAAUUAAAGAAGCCAGAUAUAGAAGUCCAUAUGUUGUAUGAUUCCAUUUAUAUGACAUUCUGGAAAAGGCAAAAUUAUAGAAAUGGAAAGCAGAUCAGAAAUGGGGGAGUAGGAGGGGUUGACUAUAAAGGAGAACAGGAGGGAGUUUGGGGGUGAUGUUCUGAAUCGUAUUGUGAUGGUAGAUGUGUGUCUAUGCAUUCGUCAAAAUUCAUAGAACUGGACAUCACAAAAGAUGAAUUUUACUUACACAAAUUAAAAAAAAAAAUAGCCAGGAUGACAGCAAGAGCCAAGAAGGACUACAGACUGUGACAAACAUGUGCAUGACAUAAUUACUAAAAGUGGUGAGGAAGAAAGGAGCUGACCUAUGUAACUUUGGAAAACCAUAUUUAAAGUAGAUGUUUUCAAGGGACACCUGGGUGGCUCAAUGGUUGAGUGUCUUUCUUCAGCUCAGGUCAUGAACCCAGAGUCCUGAGAUCAAGUUCCACAUCGGGCUCCCUGCAGGCUCCCUGUAGGGAGCCUGCUUCUCCCCCUGCCUAUGUCUCUGCCUCUUUCUGUCUCUCAUGAAUAAAUAAAUAAAAUCUUUAAAAACAAUUUAAAAAAUGAAACUAGAUGCUUUCAGCCUAAAGACCAAAACUGUUUACUCAAACUAUUUACUCCAGUUGAUAAAUUGGUUUUUCACAGGGGUAUGGGUUAGCAAUCUACUUUACAUGUAUAUAAGAAUUGAGCAAAUAAAUAUAUAUAUUG
This 2984-nucleotide long non-coding RNA is filed under the name Canis lupus familiaris (dog). RNAcentral describes it as "lncRNA (ENSCAFG00040022930.1)". Lineage: Eukaryota; Metazoa; Chordata; Mammalia; Carnivora; Canidae. The record is from RNAcentral.